CAAAUUACCCAAUCCUGACACAGGGAGGUAGUGACAAGAAAUAACAAUAGCGGGGCUUCCUAGUUCUGCUAAUUGGAAUGAGUACAAUUUAAAAACCUUAACGAGGAUCCAGUGGAGGGAAAGUCUGGUGCCAGCAGCCGCGGUAAUACCAGCUCCACAAGCGUAUAUUAAUGUUGUUGCAGUUAAAAAGCUCGUAGUUGGAUAUCUGUCAUGACGGACCUGGCCCAACAUCUCUGAUGAGUUUCUGUGUGCCGGUUCUGGCGUCCGGUUGUUGCGCUCGGUGUCGGGUUGGCUCGGUUCGCUGGGUUGAUCGGUCGGGUUGUGCUCCGUGUACGCUUGUUCGUCGGACAUCCUUCAUGAGAACCGCUCUGCCAUUCACUUGGUUGGGGCGAGGAUCCUGAUCGUUUACUUUGAAAAAAUUAGAGUGUUUAACGCAGGCUUCAUUGUCGCGAAUAGAUUAGCAUGGAAUAAUAUGAUAGGACUUCGGCACCGCUGGUGACUGCCUUUCGCGGCGUGGCCUUGUGUCGCGUCUGUGAUUGGACCAACAGCUGCUGGUUUUCUAUUUUGUUGGUUUCUAGAGCUGAAGUAAUGAUUGAUAGGGAUAGUUGGGGGUGCUUGUAUUGCGGGGCCAGAGGUGAAAUUCUCGGAUUCUCGUAAGACAAACUUCUGCGAAAGCAUUCACCAAGGAUGUCUUCUUUAAUCAAGAACGAAAGUUGGGGGAUCGAAGACGAUCAGAUACCGUCGUAGUCUCAACCAUAAACUAUACCGACUCGGGAUUGGGCGUCGUUGACAAAUUGGACUCGCUCAGCACCGUAUUUGAGAAAUCACAAGUCUUUGGGUUCUGGGGGGAGUAUGGUCGCAAGGCUGAAACUUAAAGGAAUUGACGGAAGGGCACCACCAGUCGUGGAGCCUGCGGCUUAAUUUGACUCAAUACGGGAAAACUUACCAGGUCCAGACAUAGUGAGGAUUGAUUAGAUUGAAGAUCUUUCUUGAUUCUAUGGUUGGUGGU
This 1009-nucleotide ribosomal RNA is filed under the name uncultured marine eukaryote. RNAcentral's name for it is "SSU rRNA". It matches the Rfam family "Eukaryotic small subunit ribosomal RNA", at positions 437 to 1281 of the family's 1831-position model. The record is from RNAcentral.